RNAcentral lists this unclassified non-coding RNA (224 nucleotides) under Hevea brasiliensis (rubber tree). Lineage: Eukaryota; Viridiplantae; Streptophyta; Magnoliopsida; Malpighiales; Euphorbiaceae. The record is from RNAcentral.
AAAAGAAGUGAACCAGGUCAUGGGCAGGGUAUUUUGGAAUUCCAAACUGAGAUCAUGGUCUUAUCCCAAAUUCGCCACGAUCAUCUUGUUUCCUUGAUUGGAUAUUGUGAUGAGAGGUCUGAGAUGAUAUUGGUUUACGAAUUUAUGGAAAAGGGCACUCUGAGAGAUCAUCUUUACAUUUCAGAUGCCGAUUCUGAAAAAUCUACUUCACGAUCUGAACUUUC